CUUGGCGCACGUUCCUCUGAUGACCACCGGGUAGUGAGUCAGCACGUUAAUGGGAAGUGGGAAAGGAAGAGCAUGGGCGCAAACAGUUCUUCAAAGAAACUUGGAUGUGAAGGAAGGAGAUAACAGUAACCAGAAAAGUCAAGGAAGAGUCUUUUAAGAAGGCAAAGCCUGGGACGUGUUUAAAUGCGGACAGGGAAGAGCUGUGGGAACUUACUGGUUAAAGAAAGAGAAAGAACACUUGAUGGAGUCAGGACCUACAGACAAUGGAGGGUGCAGGUACACGAGGAACCGAGGCUGGAGAGAUGACAUCAGCUCCAUGAUGACUUUCGAGUAGCUGGUAAGAGUUGGGGAUUAUUUUGAACUUGGGUCUGACCCAAAGCUG
RNAcentral lists this long non-coding RNA (382 nucleotides) under Mustela putorius furo (domestic ferret). Its description in RNAcentral is "lncRNA (ENSMPUG00000027855.1)". Lineage: Eukaryota; Metazoa; Chordata; Mammalia; Carnivora; Mustelidae. The record is from RNAcentral.